UCUUUUCUUUUGAUAAGAGAGUUUUUAAAACCAGUGUUAUUUUUGUAAGUUUAAGAGAAGUUUGUGUAUUGAAUUUUUUAUUUUUAAUAUUAAAGAGCUUUGUUAAACUUAGACUUAAGUUUAGGUCAUUUUGGGGGUUUAGCUCAGUUGGCUAGAGCAUCGGCUUUGCAAGCCGAGGGUCAAGGGUUCGAGUCCCUUAACCUCCAUUGGGCUUAUGUCCUAAAUUGUAAUUAAGUAUGUUUUUAAGCAACUUUGUUAAAGUAAUUGUUAGAAUGUGAAACAGAGGAAGUUAAAAUUUCUGGGUUAAGUUGAGAUCUGUUGAUAUUAAGAAGAAUCUCUAGAAGCAAAAGCAAGCUUUCGAUAAAACCCGAAGUUGUUUCGCUAAAGUGCAAGGAUUAAACAGGAUUGUAUUUUCCAGCAGCCUAUUUUAUAAACGAUCUGCAUUUAGUAAAUAGUUUUUAGUUAAGAAAUAAUGUAGAUUGCUAAGUGUGAUGUCUGAAAGAAGGACAAGUAUUUUAGCGAGCCUAAAUCCUUGUUAUCGUUGCCAGUAUUUAGUGGUAGGGAUUCGGAUAAGACUGCCAUUUAUAAUUUGGAGGAAGGCAAAGAUUGCAUUAAAUCGUUAUCGUUCUUAUGUUUUAGGUUACAAGUUUGCCACAAUAACCCAAAAAAGCUAAGCAAAAUGCUAUAAAGCAGAUUUCAGUUUGGAUUUGCCCGACACUCAAUGGCAUGAAGUUGUAAUUGUUAG
Molecule: unclassified non-coding RNA, 745 nt
Filed under: Borreliella burgdorferi (Lyme disease spirochete)
Lineage: Bacteria; Pseudomonadati; Spirochaetota; Spirochaetia; Spirochaetales; Borreliaceae
Description: partial 16S-23S ribosomal RNA intergenic spacer
Rfam family: tRNA (bases 133-206)
Source: RNAcentral